GCCUACGGGUGGCUGCAGUGGGGAAUAUUGGACAAUGGGCGAAAGCCUGAUCCAGCAAUGCCGCGUGAGUGAUGAAGGCCCUAGGGUUGUAAAGCUCUUUUACCCGGGAUGAUAAUGACAGUACCGGGAGAAUAAGCUCCGGCUAACUCCGUGCCAGCAGCCGCGGUAAUACGGAGGGAGCUAGCGUUGUUCGGAAUUACUGGGCGUAAAGCGCGCGUAGGCGGUUUUUUAAGUCAGAGGUGAAAGCCCGGGGCUCAACCCCGGAAUAGCCUUUGAAACUGGAAAACUUGAAUCUUGGAGAGGUCAGUGGAAUUCCGAGUGUAGAGGUGAAAUUCGUAGAUAUUCGGAAGAACACCAGUGGCGAAGGCGACUGACUGGACAAGUAUUGACGCUGAGGUGCGAAAGCGUGGGGAGCAAACAGGAUUAGAUACCCCGGUAGUC
Molecule: ribosomal RNA, 441 nt
Filed under: uncultured Sphingopyxis sp.
Lineage: Bacteria; Pseudomonadati; Pseudomonadota; Alphaproteobacteria; Sphingomonadales; Sphingopyxidaceae
Description: bacterial SSU rRNA
Rfam family: Bacterial small subunit ribosomal RNA
Source: RNAcentral